Raphanus sativus (radish) is the source of this 1163-nucleotide long non-coding RNA. RefSeq lists it as uncharacterized. The transcript is spliced from 2 exons. The record is from RefSeq and is a predicted model, not a curated record. Lineage: Eukaryota; Viridiplantae; Streptophyta; Magnoliopsida; Brassicales; Brassicaceae.
AAUGCAUUUUAUCUCUUAAACAUUCCAUGCUUCCUAUCUCUCUGAUCAGAUCUUCUAUUGAUGAAAAGACUCCAUACAAGUAACAAUCUCUUAAUUAUUUAUUUCAAGUUAAAUAUGGCAUGUGAAUGUAUCUUAAUUUAACGCUUUGACAACCACCAAGAUAACGUUGGUAUUUACAAACAUGUUUUUUUUCUAUGGCUUAUCUUUAGGAAACUAUUUGCCUUGCUUUUGCAUCCACUAAAACAGAAACAUAGAAAGAAGAAGAUAGGUUGUUCAAACAAAACAAAAAAGAAAGAAAGAAGAAGAUAUAAAAAAAACUACAUACAAUCAAGCAAAAGAUAAGUAUACAGAAAACAAAACGAAAUAGCUUUCUCUGCAACAAACGUAGUGAACAAAUGUUCAAAAAAAAAACGUGGUGAACAAUAUAUAAUCCGAAAACAGACUUGAAGAAAUCUUAUCAUGUGGCUAGCAAAUAAUGAUGUGAUGAUGUUUUCAAAGAUGUGGGAAAACAAAAAGAACUAACACUGGAAUGAUGAAAAACAAAUAUAAUGAUACAAAUUGGGUAUUUACAAAUUUGUUUGUUGUGGUUUGGCAAUUUCACAAACCUGUUUUCUUUCUAUAAUAUCAGGAAGAGGAUAUGGCGCUUUGGAGACAGAAUGAAGACAAGUUUACAAAUCAGUUUUCUACAAUGAAGACAUGGUUACACAUGCGCCAGGCACAACCAGUUUGUGAUAGGAGUAGGGGAGUGUGAUUUUCGCAGUCUACUCCUAAGUAUUCUUUCAUGGUAUGGGUGGCCAUUUGAAACAGACUGCAAAUUUGUGAUACAGUUGUGGAAUGUUGUAAUGAAUACACUGUGUGUGCUAUGCCAAGAACAUCAGGAGACCUGUCAGCAUCUAUUUUUUAGAUGUCGGUACUCUGGUAAAAUAUGGAAAGAAUUAGGUGGGGGAAAUAUGAAAGAAGAUUUCACUCUUGACUGGAAUGAGAUUCUAGAAGCAAUAUCUAGAUUCAGACAUACAUCUACAGAAGGGUUUCUUAUUCAUUACACCUUUCAAGCUCUGGUACAUAGUUUGUCAAUUUGAAUCUGAUUACAUCGUUAUGUUCUAAAGAUUUUGUGUCUGCAAGUUCUUAUUUCCCUAAUUUACAAAUACAAACACUACCAAAUU